GACGAACGCUGGCGGCGUGCCUAAUACAUGCAAGUCGAGCGAAGUUUUUCUGGUGCUUGCACCGGAAAAACUUAGCGGCGAACGGGUGAGUAACACGUAAAGAACCUGCCUCAUAGACUGGGACAACUAUUGGAAACGAUAGCUAAUACCGGGUAACAGCAUUAACUGCAUGGUUGAUGUUUAAAAGUUGGUUUUGCUAACACUAUGAGAUGGCUUUGCGGUGCAUUAGCUAGUUGGUGGGGUAAAGGCCUACCAAGGCGACGAUGCAUAGCCGACCUGAGAGGGUGAUCGGCCACACUGGGACUGAGACACGGCCCAGACUCCUACGGGAGGCAGCAGUAGGGAAUCUUCCGCAAUGGGCGAAAGCCUGACGGAGCAACGCCGCGUGAGUGAAGAAGGAUUUCGGUUCGUAAAGCUCUGUUGUUAGGGAAGAAUGAUUGUGUAGUAACUAUACACAGUAGAGACGGUACCUAACCAGAAAGCCACGGCUAACUACGUGCCAGCAGCCGCGGUAAUACGUAGGUGGCAAGCGUUGUCCGGAAUUAUUGGGCGUAAAGCGUGCGCAGGUGGUUUAAUAAGUCUGAUGUGAAAGCCCACGGCUCAACCGUGGAGGGUCAUUGGAAACUGUUAAACUUGAGUGCAGGAGAGAAAAGUGGAAUUCCUAGUGUAGCGGUGAAAUGCGUAGAGAUUAGGAGGAACACCAGUGGCGAAGGCAGGUUACUGGGCAGUUACUGACGCUGAGGAGCGAAAGCAUGGGUAGCGAACAGGAUUAGAUACCCUGGUGGUCCAUGCCGUAAACGGUGGGCGCUAGGUGUGAGGGUCUUUUCACGACUUUCGUGCCGUAGCUAACGCAUUAAGCGCCCCGCCUGGGGAGUACGGCCGCAAGGCUAAAACUCAAAGGAAUUGACGGGGGCCCGCACAAGCGGCGGAGCAUGUGGAUUAAUUCGAUGCAACGCGAAGAACCUUACCUGGGCUUGACAUACACCGGACCGCUGCAGAGAUGUAGUUUCCCUUUGUGGCUGGUGUACAGGUGGUGCAUGGUUGUCGUCAGCUCGUGUCGUGAGAUGUUGGGUUAAGUCCCGCAACGAGCGCAACCCUUGUCUUAUGUUGCCAGCAUUUGGUUGGGGACUCAUGAGAGACUGCCGGGGUCAACUCGGAGGAAGGUGGGGAUGACGUCAAAUCAUCAUGCCCCUUAUGUCCAGGGCUUCACACAUGCUACAAUGGUCGGUACAACGCGCAGCGACACUGUGAGGUGGAGCGAAUCGCUGAAAGCCGGCCUUAGUUCGGAUUGGGGUCUGCAACUCGACCCCAUGAAGUCGGAGUCGCUAGUAAUCGCAGAUCAGCAAUGCUGCGGUGAAUACGUUCCCGGGCCU
Molecule: ribosomal RNA, 1373 nt
Filed under: uncultured bacterium
Lineage: Bacteria
Description: bacterial SSU rRNA
Rfam family: Bacterial small subunit ribosomal RNA
Source: RNAcentral